RNAcentral lists this non-coding RNA (45 nucleotides) under Schistosoma margrebowiei. The record is from RNAcentral. Lineage: Eukaryota; Metazoa; Platyhelminthes; Trematoda; Strigeidida; Schistosomatidae.
AUCUAAUUGAUGUGUCCCAAAUAGGACGAAACUUGUGUCCUGGAU